Molecule: ribosomal RNA, 1182 nt
Filed under: Triticum aestivum (bread wheat)
Lineage: Eukaryota; Viridiplantae; Streptophyta; Magnoliopsida; Poales; Poaceae
Description: partial small subunit ribosomal RNA
Source: RNAcentral
UGAUUCAUCUCCCGGCGGAAAACACGUCCUUAAACGUCGUCCAGACUAGGGAACGCGCACGAGGAGGCGAACGGGAGAGCUGGGAGGGGAACGAGUAGCGGUAGGUAAAAUAAGUCUCACAUCUACCGCCCGUUUUAUGGAUUCGAGGUCUCGUUCCUACUUUUCGUGAGGUAUGUGUGAGUGUUCCUACUACUAGGUAGACAAAGAUCCUACCACCCUGAACUCCAGUUUGACGUGUCCAUACGUGGUCUAAGUUCCUAGUCGAUGAACUACUUUAUAUGUCCUCUGAGAGGAUGAGUUGUAAUGGAAUUUUUUCUUAGUUCCUAGUCAAGUUACCCUUAACCUUACUACUUUUGUGAACAAACUCGUGUAGACUAGGAGUAUUAUCGUAUAAAAAUUAUUUAGUGACAUCAGUUUAGUGAAAAAAAAAAUAUUAAAGAUAUCAUUUUAGUGAAUGAUAACACAUAUUCACGGUAAUUCCUAUUAGGAUCUAGACGCCCUAUCAAACCUUCAAUAUGGGUUCCGUAAUAUUAACGAGAUAUAAUAAUAAUUAAAGCAUAUAGUAGUGGAAUCUGAUGAGCUUGACAGCCGGUACGAAACACUAAUUUGUUAAGAACUGACUAAUUUAGGUAAAGUUCACAUUACGUUCACAACUUAACACUAGGUACUUGUCGUUCGGGUAAACCCCUUACAUAAACUUGUUACUGGGUUCGUCAGCGUGUUCACCUAGACGUGUAUAAUAAUAGUUCCUUUUGUCUCAUCCAGUACCACCUACUUCUCUUGUAAUUGGCUGUCUGAAAAGCCAACGACUAGUUUAUAUUUUAUACAUUAAAAGACCAAGUCAUUAUUUGCCCGUUAAGUUGAAUACCGACCCCGUCGGACUAAAGGAGGAUGUGUGCGGGCGAUCGUCGUCGUCAAUGCUGGUCCGCCAACGCCUUCCACUAUCCACACCACCAGCCGCCACGGACCCGAUAACUACAAGCUAAACUCUCCUUCUUCUCUCUAACCGACGACUAAAACCCUCCUUCUUCUCUCUAACUCGCACGACAACGACGGCACACACCAGAACCCUCUCCUUAUUUUCUCUCAUCAUCUCUCGAAAUCUCUCUAUCGUUUCCUAACUCUACGAUGAGGAUAAACAUAACGACAGCUACGAACGUGUUACGGUAACGAAUAAUAUGG